UCACCUAUGAAAUUAUACUAAAACUAUUAUUCACCUCAGGCUCGGUGAUUAUCGUGAAUAAAAACCUCGACUUCGUCUCGGUUUUUAUUCACCGAUAAUCACCUCGCCUUCGGCGAAUAAUUGUUAAUUAUUAUAUUGAUUUUUUUCUGUGUUGGUGUUAUGUACUCAGGUGAAUAUGAUGUUUGUGAUGUUAUUCUGAGUGUAUAUCCACGCCAGGCAGGCUUGAAAAAUAUGCCUGGCCACAGUGGGAAUCGAACACGAUCUUUGGAAUACUCGUAGGUCCUAGGUUCGAUUCCCACCGUGGCCAGGCAUAUUUUUCAAGCCUGCCUGGCGUGGAUAUACACUAAGAGUAACAUCACAAACAUCAUAUUAUAUUAUUAUUAUAGAGAAUAUUACAAUUGCUUUCUUUAAAAUUCAACUGCAUUUUGUCAAGAGUUUUUAAUUCUUUUGUAAACAAUUUGGCAUAAACAAACUUGGG
This is a non-coding RNA of Paramuricea clavata, 478 nucleotides long. The record is from the annotation of a GenBank genome assembly. NCBI's taxonomy places the organism in Eukaryota, Metazoa, Cnidaria, Anthozoa, Malacalcyonacea, Plexauridae.